This 294-nucleotide unclassified non-coding RNA is filed under the name uncultured fungus. RNAcentral's name for it is "sequence contains ITS1". Lineage: Eukaryota; Fungi. The record is from RNAcentral.
AGGGGCCAUAAGGUAAUUGUGAAUCUGUGUGGUGGCGUAGGAACAAAGUUAAAGGUCGAACGUUGGAGGAGGUUAUGGUUCUGUGUCGGAGAGAUAGAGUCAUUGAAGUGCCAUUUACAUUAUAGACAGUGAAAUAAGUAAGGACGAAAAGAAGAGAAUUGCAGUGAGUGGCGUUAGGUGUUUGUGUGGCAAUGAAGGAAUGGGUGAGGAUCACGGGUUAAACCCUGAUGGGCCCUUGGGCCACUGAAAAUGGAAGUUUGUAAAUAUGAAAAGAAAAGGAGCGGGGUGUGGGGG